GACAGAGGGGGCAAGCGUUGCUCGGAAUUACUGGGCGUAAAGGGCGCGUAGGCGGGAUGGCAAGUCGGUCGUGAAAUCCCUCGGCUCAACUGAGGAGCGUCGAUCGAAACUGCCGUUCUUGAGGGUUGCAGAGGAGACUGGAAUUCCCGGUGUAGCGGUGAAAUGUGUAGAGAUCAGGAGGAAUACCGAUGGCGAAGGCAGGUCUCUGGGCUGACACUGACGCUCAUGCACGAAAGCGUGGGGAGCAAACAGG
Molecule: ribosomal RNA, 253 nt
Filed under: uncultured bacterium
Lineage: Bacteria
Description: partial 16S ribosomal RNA
Rfam family: Bacterial small subunit ribosomal RNA
Source: RNAcentral